CUUUUUAUUAGAUGCAAUAUACAUAAUGAUCUGGUGCUGUUUCCAGGUGUCUUCAGCAUUUUCUCAUCUGAUGAUUUUUUCUACCCUUUUCAGUUACUAUAAAGUGUUACAAAUUAAAUUUAGACGCAACACAUAAAUAGUAAUUGGAAAGGUACUGCCAUUGCAUGUGUAAUGCAGAAACUAAUUUAAAAUCGAUGUGUACAAUCGUGAAAUUAUGAGGUCGUCAAGAAAUGAACUUUGUGAUAAUCUACUCGUUCCCCAAACCUGAAAUAGUUUUAUCGUCACGUCACGUCUGCUUUCAAAAUACCUUUUAAAUGAAUGUGACCGUCUUUCGCCUGAAAUGUAUGCCAUACUGACAUUUUCAGCAUGUUGAAGAUAACUAAAUGACAACUGCGUCUUCAAAACAACUGUUUACUCUCAAUUUGUGUUUAUCGUGACUUUCGAUGUAAAACCUAGAGACGUUCCGAAAUCCUGCACUUGUGUCAACUCGGCCAAUAUAGAAUAACUCGGCCAAUACAGAAAAAAUCUGUAUUGGCCUAGUUAUUCUGUAUUGGCCCAAUCUACACAUUAUAUUGCAUAGGCAGUUUUCAUCAUAUUAAGUCCAAUAACAGUGCAGUUAAUUAAUAAUAGAAUUUA
Molecule: long non-coding RNA, 636 nt
Filed under: Mytilus galloprovincialis (Mediterranean mussel)
Lineage: Eukaryota; Metazoa; Mollusca; Bivalvia; Mytilida; Mytilidae
Source: RNAcentral